Long non-coding RNA from Homo sapiens (human), 16495 nucleotides. RefSeq lists it as uncharacterized. Lineage: Eukaryota; Metazoa; Chordata; Mammalia; Primates; Hominidae. The record is from RefSeq and is a predicted model, not a curated record. The transcript has 4 exons.
UCUGCCUGAAGCCAAGGGAGAAGAUGUGGCAGCUCCAGUGCAGACCUCAGGAUCCUCUGUGACAUCUCUGGAGAAUGGACAUGCUGAAAGUCAGAUGGAAGGGAGAGACCUGGACAGGCAUGCUGCUGCGUUGAAAGGCAGGUUUGGAGAAGAACUGUUAAAACCGUAUAAUAACCACGUGAAUACCUUGCUAGGAUGCCCUGCAGUCUUUGGAAGGACAGGGGCAAGUGAAGAAACCUGAAGCUGAAGCUCCAUUAGCUUUGUGGCGAGUCAACCCUGGUCAAGGUUGGAGGUGGGGCUCAGAAGAACUAAACCAACAGAUACUUCCAGCUGUACACACUCAUCCCAGCCAGCGACACCCACUCUUCAGGUCCAUGGUCCCAGGCCGCAGCAAAGUUCUGAGACUAAGGUGAGAAUAAGGUGAAAUUAUGCACAUUUUCUGUUUGUGUGUAGAGAAAGAGAGAAACAACUUCCUCAACCCGAGAUGAGGUUGUCUCUGGGCGACUAGCCAUCUGGUUCACCAAAACAAGAUUUUCUCUGAUUUUGCAUGUAAGCUGUUUUUGUUUGUCUUUUUUACCACUUUGGUCCUAAAGGGUUUAUUUUCUGUUACCCACUCCCCACAGAACCUCUGCAUUCUGGGAUGGAAUGUAGGGUGAUGGAAUCCUUAGAGGUGGGUGAGAGGAAUCCCACUGGGCCCCCCAGCAUGGCCUGGGGCCUUCCUGGGCUUGGCAGUGGUUAAGAGUGUGAGCACCAGAACCAAACAGCUGGGCUCUGACACUGACUCCCUCCAACCAUAGUCCCGGGACAAACUCACCCCUCCGUUCUUCCCAUUCUGUAUCAGUAGAGCAGAGGAAAAGUGAUGAGCAGCACGUGGGAGUUGUGGGAAUUGAGUCGUUGCCGCUCAAGUGCUUGUACAGGGCCUAGCACUUCGUAACUGCUCACUGCGGGAAAGGGAACAGGUUUAUUAAGGGUUUGAUGAACAGAACUGGAGGAAAUUGGGAGGGGGCAAGGGCCCUGUCCUUAUGCCAGGAACUCCUCCCUUCCUUUCUUCUCCAGGCCUCACUGGGAGCUGCACCCUCUGCUCCUCUGGCCUGGGAAAGAGCCAGAUGUCUUGUCUCCUGUUUCCCAUCAGAGAGGGUUUCCUCUGGCUCCAACGCCUUCCUUGCAGUGUAUGAGGCGGCUUUACCUGCCUCAAAGGUCAGCUAGCAAACACCUAGAGAGUAUUCUAGACAGACCCUGGCUGCAAUUCCCAGGCUUUCCCUGCUAAAUCUGGCAGAAUCUGCCCUGGGGUGUGCCAAAUGUCAAUCACAAGAAGGACAGGUCACACUGCUUCUUCCGAGAAGCCUCUCUAGAUUUCACCGCCCUGCCUUGAACUCUGCCCAUAUCCUGUGUCUCCUGUAACCCUGGGCUCAGCUUGUCCAAAAGCUGUUCCCUGCUAACCAUGGCUAGUGUGCUUCUCGAAUUGUGAGCCAAAAGCAAAUGUUCAAAAGCACAACCAGAGAUUUAUAUGGCAUAGGGGUGUAUUUUCCCAGAGAGCUAAAAAAAGAUUGUAAAAUCGUAAUUAUAUCCACAUUUUAUGCAUAAUUUUUGCAAUAUACUAACCAUAUUUUGAACAUGUUCAUUCAUUUACUUCUGCUACAAUUCAACAUGCAGUCACUCAACAGAUAUCUGUUGAGCACCUCCUAGGUACCAGACACCAUUCCAGGUAUUCAGAAUAUAUCCCUCGUGGGGCGCACAAUCUAAUAACAGAAGGAGAUGGAUAAUGAAAACUUCACAUCAUAAAUGUUAGAUGGUGAUAAGUGCUAUGGGGAGGAAACAAAGGGAGACAAAAGCAGAGCCCAAGAGAGAAGAUCCAGAAUGCAGGUGGAGGGUAGAGUGCAGGUUGCAAUUUAAAACAGGAGGAUCAGGGAAAGCCUCAUUGAUACACUAAGAUUUGAGCAAUGACUUGGAAAGGAGGUGAGGGAUGAGCCGCGUGGAAAUCAAGGAAAGGGCAUUCUGGGUACAGGGCCCUAAGGCGCGAACGUGCCUGGCAUGCAUCUGAACACAGCUUAAUUCUGGUGAGCAUCUGAUUGUGGCUUCUUUGGUCUUCCUUGGGCGUGCCUAAGGACUCCUAUCUUUGUCUCAUUUAUAUUAAGUUCAUGAGAUCUGUGCUUUCUACUCCAGCUUUCCACUCAUCUUUAUAAAACAGUAAGGACAAAAUUAAAUGAAAUGUGCAAAAUAACUGCACAAACUCUGUGCUGGGUGCCUGGUGACGCGGAACCGUCGGCUGGCACGCUGCGCCCCCACGUGGAAGCUUGCAAGGUUUGGCCCCCUAGGCACGGAAGUUCCUAUCUGGCCCCUGGAAAGCAGCCCAGGGGGACCAGGCUUAGUGCCCAAAUGUACGCGCUGUGCAAAAGAGAAACUUAUGAAGUCAAGGACCUCGUGGCGUGUUAGACGAGAGCCCGAGGGCAGGGGUGGGGGUGCAGUGCUGAUGGGGAUGUGGGCCACACCCGCUAGCUUUCCUCCCCGAGCCAGAGAAGAUGUUCCUGUCCUUGAACAAGAGAGCAGACAGUUCCCCCAGGCAGCUGUGUGCAUGGGGGGAGGAGGGGGUUCCGGGAGGGUGCUGUGCUGCAUGGCCCUCGACACAGAUGUGCACUCGCAUGCGCUUGGCAAAGGUGCUCCCCGCACUGGACGUGCAUUUGUUUUUCCUCCAGGACUGUGUUCUGGACAAGGACCUCCUGAGGCACCCAUGCUGCAGUUCCCAGAGGCUUAAGGACGGCUGCGGGACGUGUGGGCGUCUGGGUUGGGUCACCUCUCCAAGGAUGCCUUCUCUGACCACCCAGCGUAGUUCCCCAGGCACUCCGUCACUGUCCUGCUGUAACCCCUUCCUGGCGAUCCUCUUCGCCUGAUAUUUUUGUGCUCACUGAUGGAUGAGCUCUGCUCAUGAAAAUGCAAAGUCCCUUAAGAGCAGAGUCCGUGUCUGUUCUUUUGGCUGCACUGUUACCUGCACAGAGAAGAGUGCCCAACCGAGAUUGUGCAUUCAAUACGUAUAUUUUAUUAGUUGAAAUAAAUGAAUGAUGUUUAAGACCUGGCUUAUGCAUUUUCUUUAAUGAAGAGAUGGAGAAAACAUAGCAUGCUGGAGCAGAAGGGAGAUUGAGGAGAAGAAUCUGGACCAGCAAAGAAAAAGAAUUCCAAUUUUCCUUCCCUCAAGGACAACCUGCCCAUAGAUAAGCGCCUUGAGACCAAAGCCCAUUAUGGUUGCUGCCAGGCAGCUUGGAGACACAGGAAUGGCCUCCCAACAUCCCUGACCUCGGUUUUUGAUACCUUUGUAAAUGAUAUCCCUAAUCUGUCUGCUCCUGAAAUCCCUACCUCGUUUUUAAAAUGUUUUCCUAAAACCUAAUGAGUUUGACUUGCUCCUUUGCCUUUGGAAAGGUUGUCAUUUUACAUUUUAAAAGUCAAAAAGAAACGCUUCCUAUCCCUCUGGAUCCUCCUGGAGCCAGCAGUAGCUCUGUGGCCUUGAGCAAGUCACUUCCCUUCGCUGGGGCUCAGUUUUCUGUAAAGGGAGGAGGAGAUGGUGCUGGCUGUUGUCCAGGUCCAUGCCAGCUCUAAAAGGCUGUGAGCUUCUGAUGCCCACCCCCCAGUGACACCCACAAAGGAACUGCCUUCCCCUCCAAUGGGACAGCGUAUGGCCAAGCAUUCCUGGGAAGGGCAGGAAGAAGAGGGCCUCCUUCCUAGCGCCCAGGCCCUUGUCUGCUUGUCCCCUUGUCAUCCUUCCCCUGGACUAUGCCACUACAAUGCAUCAUGAGGACCUUAGAUAUCAAGAGUGGAAACGCAGGGUUGUUCCCCAGAGUAAACAGACUACAGAAAUGGCCCAGUUCUCCACUCCUGCAUGCUAGUCCUUUGCCUUUUGAGUUCACACUCGUCUCAGCAAGAGCUGGAGCCUAUCCCCUAACACCUGAAAUUUGGAUUGGCUUUCUGACUGCUUUAGCCAAAAGAAUGCACUAAAAGUAUCAAGGUGUAGGUGUGGAGCCCAGGUCUCAAGAGGCCUUGCCCAACCCUUCUCUCUUUCCUGGACCCCUGUAGCUGCCAUGAAGGAACACCGAGGCUAGCCUGUGGGAGGAUGAGACACAUGGAGCAGUGCCAGCUGACCCAGCCAACACCGUUCUAGAUUAACAACCAUAUUAGCCAACUGAGCCCCAGACAUAUGAAUGAGUCCCAGCCAAGCCCAGCCAAGAUCUGCGGGCCUGGCUCAGAUCAGCAGAAGUGUGCAGCUGACCCACAGACUCCUGAGUCACGAUCACCGAUUGUUUCAGGAUGGUUUGUUACACAGCAAUGGCUAAUUGACAAUACACCCUGGAUCUACCCCCAGGACAGCCCACAUCUCCCUUAGUUUGCCUUCUUGAGCAUCCUUGCACGUGGUCUGCCCUUUCUGCCUCUGUACUGCCUAGUUUAUGUCUUAAAAAUAUCACUUCCCUCCUGUAAGUCCGGCCCUGUGUAUAGAAGCAUACAGGCAAUCGCUUACAUGAGAGAAUUUUAUUUUUCAGGGUCUCUCUAAAACUGGGUGCCAUAAUGUGUCAGCUACUUGGGCCAGCCAUGGUAUCUGAAACCGUGGCCCAAAGACUUGGUCUUCUGAAUUACAUCACACAUAGUACAUGUCAUAUAGAGGAGCACACAUCCUACCUCCUGUCUCAGUGGCAUGAUAGGUGAAGUGGAAAUCGGGUGCAGGAAUGACCUUUAUGGGGCUGGGAAGGAGGCUUUGUGGGAAUGCAGACCUGACAGAGUGUUCCAGGAGAGGCCUCCGUGAGGUCACCGGAACUAAGCAGGGAUUGGAAGCAGAGCCCCCAGGCACACCCACACUCAUAGUUUUGCUAAGGAUUGACCCUGUUUUCUUGUGCAAGUAUUUUAUUUUUCUCUAAUAAAUUAACAUUUAUUAGAAGUCUAUUGUAAAUCAAGCAGGCAUCAGCUAAGCCCAGGAGAUGACAAAGAUAAAUAAUGAAUCCCUGCCCUGAAGGAACUUACUAGUUCAUAAUCCUAAAGGUGCAAAAUACCGCUACAAGUAUAUGCCAAUAAAUCAUUAGAUUCGAAUUCAGUUCUUUCUUCUAAAAGUCAGGAGGUAAAACCAGAUUAAUCAAUGAUCAACAAUUAGAAAAAUCAAUUAGGGUGAUGUUUAUAUUACUUAUGUAUUUAUACUUCUUCAAGUUUUACUCAAAUUACAUUUCUCUUUGCAAGUACGAUUAAUAUUCAAAGCCAAACAUGAUUUCCAGUCUUGUCCCCAACUGCAUCCUUCUGUCUUACUCACCUCUAUACAUGAUAUACCUUCAUUCACCUAGUUCUAUACAUAUCUUAUCCAUAGCAAAUCCUGUAGCAUUACCCCCACAACAUACACAGAAUCCCGCCAAUUCGCACCACCUCCACCUCCACCAUCCCAGUGCAAGCCAUCAGCACCUCUCACCUAUUCUUUUGCAAAAAAAUUGGUAACUGGUCUUUUUGCUUCCAUCCUUCUCUCCCACCUUCUAUUCUAACCAGCAGGCAGAAAGAUCCUGUUCAAACAUAAGUCAGAUUAGGUUAAUCCUUAGAUCAUAAACCCUCCGCUAUCUUCCCAUCACACUUAACAUAAAAUCAAAGGCCCCAGAUGACUUGGCCCUGACCACCUCUCUAACCCUGCUCUAGUCACAUGGGCAGUAUUGCUUUUCUUUACAUUCACCAGACAUUCCUACCUUAGUGCCUUUGCACUGGUGCCUGUUACCUUCCUGACUCAGACCUCUUCAUGGACCAUUUUUUUAUGGCAUUUCAAGCUUUGCUCAUGUUUCACCUCUUUAGAAAGAACUUCCUUGACCACCAGAGCUAAAAUAGCCACCAUCACCACUACCCCACAACAUCCUUCACUUUCUAGCCCUUUGCCCUGCUCUAGUUUUCUUCAUAGCACUUACCACUGCCCUGUAUUAUACCAUGUAUUUGUUUAUUUACUUGUUCGUUGCCAUGAUGAGAUCCCUAAAGACAGGGGUCUUGGCUGGUUGGUGUGCUACCAUAUGUUAAGUAUUUGAACAGUACCUUGCUUUUGUCAUCUACGUAAUAAAUGUUUGUGGAAUGAAUCCCUAAGUGUUCACAUUCAUUCUGCUAAUGUUUGUAAAUAUCUUAUUUUGUAAAAUAAGUGAAUGGGCAAGUCUAUCAUAUAGCUCAAACAAUAUCACUCUUGGAAUUCAGGAAAUGAACAUCAAAUCCCAUUGCUUCUCUAAGAAAAAGAAAACAAUUUGGACCACUCACUUCCCUUCUCUGAGCAUUUGUUUUUCCUUCUUCAAAGUAAGUAAAACCAUCCCUCUCCCCUCCCAACCGAAAAGGUAAGUACUAUAGUUACUUCCAUUUUAUCCAUGAGGAAACUGAGGCCCAGAAAAGGCCAAGUCAGUCUUUGCUGUCUCAGGAGGAGGAUUUAGAAGGUCAAUUCUGCCCAGGAAUUGAGGCCAGAGAAAAUCACUCUGUGGAUAAGUUUUGAUGCAAAAUCCGAGCAGACUGUGUUCUCACUUCUUAUAACAGAGGGAAGCGCCCCUCUGCCCAGCCGGGCCCCAUCCCCUGGAAGGGCAGGGUGGGACUUGCUUCCGCCUGUUCUGUGGACAGUCUCUGUGCAUGUGGGAUUACUAGAAGAACUUUCAGUCUCCAGGAGCUCCAAGGCCUGCACUUCCCAGAGCCUUCUCAUCAGGCACAAAUAAACAGUUGUUAAUGUCUUCCUGGGCUUAUGUGCUUGAGGCUGUCACAACCAGGAGCUCUGAAACUGGCACAGGCCGGGGUGCAGACACCCAAGGCCUCCAGGCUGACAGCUGCAUGGAGUCAUUUUCAAUUAGAGAAUGACUUGGAAAAGAAAAAAAAUCCAGCAUCAAAGCCUAUCCUGAAGCCUGCCUGCCCAAGGCCUGAGGACUCCCAGGUGGAGCCAGGACCCUGUCACUCUUCUGCUUGCAAGGAAAGCAGCCCACACUAUGCCCAGCCGGGAAGGGGGCGGGGGUGGCUUGUAGAAUCCUGCCCCUGGUGCAGGCUCUGUCUGCUUCUAGACAGGAGAAGAAAGCAAAGGUGCCUUUGUAGGCCAGCUGUCUUGGGGAGAGAGGCUCACUUUCUGCAAGCCCUGGUGCUCCCCAGAGAGGCCACAGCCCAGAGGAGUGAGCUAGAAAUUUAGAAUUAUACAGAAUUGAAUGCGAGCACUGGCCUUGCUACAUGCUGGCAGUAUGACCUUAAGGCACAGACAUAGGGAUGGUGCAGUGCCUUAGGGCCAGAAACAACAGGCACCAUUAACCAGGGCCGGGACUAGGAUGAGACAAAGGAGGCGCUUGCUUCGGGUGUACAAUUUAAGGGAACUUCAAAAAACUCAGCAAUCAGAUAAAUUAUAUUUUAAGGCAAUAUUUUUUUAAGUUAAAAUUUAUGUUAAAAAAAUCCAUGAUGAAGAAAAUAUCAAAAUUUUAAAUAAAAACAGGCUCCAACAAUGCCGUGCCAAGCCAUACUGGAGCCUGAGGCAAAAGGAAAAACUGUGCUUCCCUAUAUAUGUGUAUUUGUGCAUUUUUAAUGGUUACUAUUUUUCCAGAACAUUAAAUGAGUUUUAAAAAUAUUGAGAAGUGUCUAAAACUCACAACAUUAUUUUAAAUUUAAAUAUUUUAUUUAUAUCAAAACCAGAAUGUAUUAUAAUUUUACUUUCCUGGCUUAAAAUGGAAGCAAACUCAUCAAUACUAUUUUCAAAACCUGCUUACUUACUUACGCCAUUUUCAGUUGAAAGAAUUGCCAUGUUCAACAAUUUCUACUGACCAAGUGACUACCUUAAAUAAUUGUUAAUUAACUUUAGCUCACUAAAACUUCUUUCCCUGGACAGCACUGUAACUAGUAUUGUUUAAAAAAAGAAUUCUCAAGGCCAUGUCCAAGUUUAGAUAAGACUACACUAAGCAAAAUUCCUGAAUCUGUUUUAGAGAUUCAAAUCUAAUGCUGAUUUUGUAUUGUAAUUUAUUGAUAUUACAUGUUAAAACUAUUUCAGAUGAAAUUUCAAUAGGACUUAAAUUGUCAGAAUAUUUAAGAGUCCAAUCAAUGACUGAUUUUUGUAAAUAAGAUCUAUUCAUGAAAACUUUUCUGCAGUUUUCUAAUUUUUCUAGACUUAAAAAUUCAAAAUCUGAAGAUAUUUAAUUUUUGCAUGUCUAUUUCAAAUGUGAACUUCAGACAUUUAAAUUUUUGAUUUCUAUUUGAUCUAAGCUGGUUUCAUUGUAAUUGAUACUCUUACCCAUGAAUCAUAUAUUUCCAGUUUCCUUACUUUUUUAAAAUUUAUUUCCAAAUUUAGGAAGCAUGUUUAUACCUCAUGCUAAAGUUUUACUUUCAUCCAGCAUGUCAAGUUAUUUAUUCUCAUUUGUUAUAACUCACAACUUUCACUUGAAAAAAGUUGAUCAAAGUAGAUUUUGAAAGUAUUGUUGAUGAAUUUGCUUCCAUUAAAGUGAGGAAAAUAAAAUUAUAACACAUUCGGUUUGAGAUAAAAUGAAAUAUCUAAGCUUAAAAUAAUGCUGUGAGUUUUGAGACAUCUACUUCCCAGAUUUUCAAUAUUUGUUCAACUAGUUCUGGGGGAAAAAACAACCAUUAUACAAACAUAUAUGCAGGGGCACUGAGUUUUCCUGUGACCUCAGGCUCCAACAUGGGCCCGCAGCACACUGUGGUUCCCAGCGGGAGGAGAGAGGUGUUUACUGGAAUUGCAGACACAGCAGGGAGUGUGGAGGGGGCUCAUUGGCUGAGACCUCUGCAGGGAGAGAAAGAGCUGGGGGAGCAUCCUGACCUCGCUUUCCUCCCUCCCUCACAUCUCCUGCUGGCAUUCUGCAUGGGCUGGACCAAUUGCAUGCCAGCGGGCACUGGGGCCUGUUGGUGUGGUCCAAAUGGGUCAGCCGGCAGCACCGAGCAGAUGGAGAAGGGUGGAAAGUAGAUCUGGGGCAGCAAACGGAAAUUCUAUGGGACACUCUUGGUCUUUGUGGAUCGACUCAAAAACAGAAGGUGAUAAUAACUACCUUGCAAAGUUUUCCUAAGAGGGAAAUAGGGCAAUAUAGGUAAAUUGCCUCAAAUAGUUUGGCAUCUCCUAAACCAGGGCUUGUAUUACAGCUGAACAGGAGUAAGCAACCACUGCUGGUGGUAGAGGGAGAGUGAGGGGGAAGGUGGGAUGGGACACCUGAUGUGGUAUCCCUUGCUCCUCAAUCAGCCUGAGGCCACAUGGCACCACCUGGGCAAGACUGACCCCAGCAGGACCAGCUCUGCCUUCAGUGAAACAGAGUGGUGGGAUGGAAGGCACUUUCAUUUCCUGAGUGAGCCUCAGUUUCCUAAGAGUCUGAUAGUGAUAGAAUGAUGCCUAUCUUGCAGGAUUUUGAGGACUAAGAGAGAUAAUGUACGUUAAAGUACUUUGUAAACUAUGAAACAUGUGAAUGUUGUACUUGGGGUGGGAGGGCUCGUGCUCAUUUCAUCUUCAAAACAGAAAACCACACUAAAGCUGUGGGGACAUACUGUCUUCUUUACUAUGAAAUCAGAGGCAGAAAAUAUUUUCCUUACUUUAGGAGGCCAUGUGUAUUGUCCUUGUUUGACAGACUACUGAGUGUGCAGAAGUAAGGAAUUAAGAGAUUCUAAUAUCAACUCUGCCCCUAUUUCGCUGAGAUACUUUAAAUCUGGGUGCUCCUUUUGUCUCUCAACUUCUCCGGAUUGAAAACAUGGACUGUGAUAUUCAGUAGAGUGCUUUGUGCCUUGCAGAAGAUAAAGAGAGUCGUCUUGACAGCUUAAGACUUUGUCGGCCUGUGUGACCUGGUACAGAAGGAACGUGCAUUCCACGGCAGAGUUCAGAACUAUGGAAGAAUGCAGACACAUCUAGAAAGUUUCAAAAGUUGGAAUGGAACAUGGAAUUAUUUUCCAUGGCCUCUUCUCCUGGAGGCAAAAUUAGCUGGAAAGAUCGCAUACUUAGACCCCAGUGGCAGAGCCCAGCACCAAGCCCCCUGGGCGGAAUCAGAGGAAAGAUGAAACUGCAUGGCCACCCACCGUUUACAGAUGAAAGAUGGGACUUACAAUUGCUACAUGAUCUCAGAGCCCAGCCCUGAUGGCCACAAGCACACCUGUGCACAGGAGUAAUCUGACCAGCUGAGGGCAGAUGCUUUGCAGGACAACAGAAGUGGGAUCAUGGGGACCUCUCUGUGGGUUCACCCGGUCCUGUUGUGCUUGACCCCGGCCCUGAGUCAGUCACCACUCCCCAUGGCCUUCAUGCCUUACCUGGACAGUGAGAGGAUCAGAUGAGCGAAGAGGUUCCACAGUCUGAGUGCUCGGGAGAAUGACCUGGGAGUCUUUUAAAAAUUCAGUUUCCUUGGCUUCUUAUCCUGAAAAUUCAGUCAGUAGACAAGGAGCACAACCCAGGAAUCUGUAUUUGUCACAAUCAGCUGUAGUGAUUUUGAUGAGCCCAAGUAUUCUCUAGGGUCCUACCAGCCUGGCACUCGGGCACCCUCUUGCUCCAUGGGUGAAAGCUCGAGAGAUAAUAGAGAGAUAAUAGGCUGGAACAGAAUUUCAGUGGAAGGGUGGGGAGGGAGGCAGAGCUUCUCAGGCACAGGGAUGUGCAGCUGGGAGAGGUGCAAUGACCGAACCUUUUUUACCUAUUCUCUGAGUCCUUGUUGGUUUUUAUUGCUAACGUCAUAUGAGAUUGUUACAUUGUCUUGGCUGUGCCUGUGUGUCACAUAUUAUGCUUUCUCACCUAACCCCAGUAAAAUCCCACCUUCAUUGAUCAAAACAGGUUGUUAUCAUAUGGACGCUCAAAAUAUUUUUAUGCACCUUCUCAGUCUGCAGAGAAUUCCACUGCAAACAGCUUAUAAGGUCCAUGUGUUUGGCUGUAGGUUCUUCCUCAAACUGGCUGCUUCGUAGACAAGCAGGUGCCUCGGGGACUGUGUCUUCACAUAAGUCAUGGUCUGUUUUCCAUGGGGAGGCUGCAAGAGCUAGGGGGACAGAGGUGACAAUGCAGAAGAUGGAACAAAGUAACAGCACAAUGGGAGCAUGCAGAGGCCCGGGGAUAGGUCUGGGUGUUAGGAGGACAACCUGGCCCCACUGGGUAAGUCAGGAGGCUGCGGUCUUAAGGGGAUGGGACUGAGACUGCAGAGACUGGCCCUGCAGAGGUAUCGGGAGGCCUGAGGCACACAUUAGUUGGGCUCCAUCCUGAAGACAGGUUGGGGGACAGGGCUUCCAGGCAGCAGGCAAUGAUAAGUGGCAUUGCCCCAGCCCAUGACUGGACACCAAGAUCUAGUCCCGCACAUAAGGGCUGCUGUACCCCAGGCUCUAUGUCUGGGCUUUCUGGAGAGGGAGGCCAGUGAGAGGAGCUCCCCUUAGCCAGUCCUACCUCAUGAGAUGACUGUGCUGCGCUGUUUUAUCUUUUACAGCACUCUGAAGGACUGCGUUCCCCAUUGCAUGAGGGAAGAAACUGAGGGUGGAGAGGCUCCAGGACAGAGCAGGAUGGUGCUGGUGUUGAACUCUGAGACGACGUGACUACAAUGCCUGUGCCCUUUGCUGGGAGGCUAAUCAGAAUCCAGGAACGAGAGGCUGGGCAGAAACCAGGCCAGGGUGCAUCCCCCACGGCAGGCUGGAGUUGCUGAUGGGAGGAGAGGACUCCAUGGCAGGUGAGAAAAUACCACCCAGGACCUGACUGAGACCCCAUCCGGCAUCAGUCCACGUGAACCCAGUGUCUGCAGGGAAAUUUUACAGUCAAAACCUGUGCAGUCUGCUAUGAACCAAGGAAUAAGGAGGCUGCUGGAAAAGCCAUCAUUUUGCUGGGCUAUUGAUGUUGGUGAGAGUUGAUCACAGUUUGAAAGGUGCAGAAGGCCAUGCCUGGCAAAGAGACAGAUGGGAGACCUCUCUGGUUGGGGCGAGAAUGCUGUGUGGGAUGGCUCAGGGGUGGAGGUAGCGAGCCUGUGCUUGAGCGGGGCCAACCGAGAGUCAAAUCCCGGGCUGCCGCGUGUCGAGUGCGGUGGCCAUGGGUCCAUCCAUGACUUCUCUGAGUCCCUAGUCCCCUACCCGUAAAAACGGAAGCAAUAACACAGACUUCUUAGGUUGUUUUUUUGAGACCUGAGAUAGACCACAUGUGUAAGGCAUUCAGCACAGUGCUUGACUUGUGUAGGGCUCCCAAAGCUGAGCUAUAAUUGGGUAAUUGCUGAUGGUGCUCAGAUUCCAAGGUGAAAGGAGAAGAGACACAGGGAUGCUGAGGGGGAGUUGAGGAGAGGUUGCUGCACAGUCCAAGAGGACCAUAAACAACAUCACAGAGGAGGCACAUGAGGGCUGCCUCACACUCAGCAGAAAGGCCAGAGUGAGGGCGUGCAGCUGGCUCGCAGAGGUGGGCUUUCAAAUCCCAGAGGAAUGGGCUGACUGCACUGCCCAGGCUGUGGUUGCUCCACACUGAGGACUUGGGAUACCCACCUGCCUCAGCUUCUUGGAUGAUCUCCAGAAUGCCAGGCAGCCAGACGUGAGGUCAUGCAUUUACUGUAGGGAGCUGUGCAGCUGGGUGAGGGGAGGGGGCUACCAGGCAGAGGCUCUGCCUGCCUCAAAGUGCUCCAGAGGGGCUGGGUGGGCCCCAAAGUGUUCAGAGGGACUUGAUCAGAGGCCCUCAAGCAAAGCAUGCCUUAGGUGUAGGGUCAGGGGAAAGGGCCCAGCCUCUCUGCCCUCCCAUCUCCAGCCCUGCUUCCAUCUCAUGGGCCUGGGCCACGUGGCCCUUCUAAAUGAAGCUCCUGAGCUAGGUGGAUGUUGGUGCAGACACAACCGACCGGUCUGCCAUGCAUGUGUGAGAACACAGGCUGCUCCAGCGGCCUUGCAGACACCCACCCAGCACCUCAGGCAAUGGAAACCCCCCAGGAAAUGGCCUUGUGUGGGAAGGAGGGCACGCCCCCAACCCUGGACACAACCUCCAGGGUUGAGAGGAGAGGCGGGACCAGGGAAAGGCUGCCCCAGCAGAUUAGGCUUUGAGACAAGGUAAAUGAAGUCAGGGUCACAGAAGGGCUUCUCACCCAACCCUCUCACUUCACAAGUGGGGAAACCGGCCCAGAGAGGGCAAGUAAACAAACAGCGUAAGGAGUUUGUGGUUGUGGAAGGUUGUGAAAUGGCCCCUCAAAAGAUAUUCCCAUUCUAAUACCUGGAACUUGUCAGUGUUACCUUACAUGAGGGGAAAACAGGAGUUUUUGGCAAUGUGAGCAGAUGAAGAAUCUUGUGAUGGGAAGAUUAUCCUGCGGUAUCUAGGUGGGCUGUAAAUACAGUCACAUGCAUCGUUAUAAUCAGACGACAAAGAGAGAUCUGAAAACACACAGAGGAGGCCCCAGUGUGGAGACCAGUAGAGGGAGGCUUGAGAACACGGGCCUUGAACAUCGGAGUUGGUGUGGCCAUAGCCACCGGACCCUGGAAGAGGCGCGUAACAGAUUCUCCCCGCCAGCCCCUGAGUGAGUGCAGCUCUGCCAACUCUUGAUGUUGGCCCAGGGAAACUGUUUUCAGACUUCUGGCCCCCACAACUGCGAGAGAAUAAAUUACGUUGUUUUAAGCUACUAAGGUUUUAGUAAUUUAUUACGGCAGCCACAGGAAACUAAUACAGUGUUUUCCCUGGGCCCGGCCCGGCCUUGGAACUGUGUCGUCCUAUCGGUACCCUGGACCCAUAAGAGGGAGGGAUGGCAGGGGCAGAGAAGGCAGGGACUCCAUUUUCCAUCACAAGCUGUCUCCACCAGCCUCGCUGAGGGAUGGUGAUGGAGAUGUACCAUGUCCUCACUUCCAUUGCCUGAGGUGCUGGGUGUGAUGUGGAGAAGACAUAAGAAACUAACGGCAAACGUGCUCAUUCUGUCCUGCGUGUGCAGCGAGACAGCCGGCAAGCCCAGGAUGCGGGCUGGGCCCUAAACCCCAGCUUCCGGCUGUUAACUGGGCCUUUCGUGUUGACGAAACACAGUUGAGGGUAUUUACAGUGGAUGUGGCUACUGUGUGGCACAUAGUAUUGAGAGCAUCACAUUCAGCAUCUCGCUGUGGCCCGAAGGGGAGCUCCUGGGAUUGAUUAGGAAAGAGCCAUUUGGAGAAGGCACUGUUAAAACUGUUUGGUUUUUCCUGCCCGCCGGCUGAGAAGGUCCUGGAGGAGUCCUGCUUCUGCUGACAGGGUAGGGUCCUGGGCCAGAGAACUGGCUAGAACUCAAGACAAUAAGGCAGGAGUCAGUCAGCCUCAGGAUAUCUGAAAGCAUGGUGAUGUCAGUUCAGAAGACAGGAAAUCAAACCUGCCUCAGUGGCCUGCCAGCUGUGUGGCCAUGGGCAAGGUGCUCCGCCUCCUGGAGGUGGGCACAGUGAGAUGGAAAAGUGGACGUGAAAGGGCUUUUGUCAGCUGUGCAGGUCCAGACCGCCAUGUGAGCGUGCGGGUUUUCCUCCCCAGCUUCUACUCCACCCUGGUCAGGUCUGCCCAUGGAGGGUGAGAGAGCUAGGACAGGAAGGUACUCACGGCUGUCCCUCUCAUGACUGACAAAUGGUGCCAAUGUUAUCCUAGGGUGCACACACACAUUUUCAAGGAAUUGGGGUGGGGGGGAUGGCCUUGUCCCUUGAGAACUAUCAGUCUAGCAGGGGACACUAAACACAUAUGCAGGAAAUGACCUUAUUAGAAAGCAACACACUGAAAAGUGCCAAGUGACACAGCUCGGACUGAACAUGGAAAUGCUCGAAGCCCACACAACUGGAGUGCAGGAGCAGGCUAGACCGAGUCAGAGGACACUCGACACUCUCCUGAAGUCUGACCCCGUGAACGUCAAGGCCCAGGCCCAGGCCUGUGUGUGAGCCAGGGCAGGGGAGUCGGAUGUGGUGUCUGGGAGAAGACUGUCUUAACCAGCUUAGGGCGAAAAGCAGGAAGGGCAUCUCUCUUCUAGUUACUAGAGUGGAAAGGAAAAGGGAAGUUCUGGGUUGGUGACCCUGUGGUCCUCUGAGCAGGCGAGAGCCCAGCACUAAAAUACGACAGUCAUUCUGCUGGGAGGACCCGGCUGAACUUAGCGCUGGGUAGGUGGGGUAGAGUAGGCUAGGGCCUUGGCAAGGAGGAGCCAUGCUGCCCUGGAGCACAUCUCUGGUGCGGCAGAGCCCAGCAUCAGCUCUGACCACUGUGGACAGAGGCCCAUCCCCAGAUGUGAGUCCUUGAUCAACCCCGGGGUUCCGCCUUCUAGGGCUCACAUAGCCAAGGGGAGCCCCAGCCUCACAGAAGCCACAGCAACUAGGCAGAAACCACAGGACUGGCCCAUAUGGCCAGGCGGGCUCAGAGCCGUGGCCUGCUGUUGUUGGGGACAAGGGCGUGAACAUUAAAGAUAGAAGUCACAGUAACUCAUACUCCUCAGAUUGCGGUAAACUGUGUUUGUGCAUAAGGCUGUUACGGUUUUAUUCUUUUCCUCUUUGUCUCCUUCAUUCUUGGUCACCAGUUCUCUUACCCAGCCUUGAUGUGUUUGGUAUAAAGCUUUGAAUGGGAACAUACUUUAAAAAUACAUUUUAAAUGGUGUGUGUGUGUGUGUGUGUGAGAGAGAGAGAGAGAGACAGAGAGAGAUCUACAUAAAUGACAUUGUGCUAUGGACUUUCUGGGUUUUUUUCCUUUUUCAAAAAACUUACCUUAUGUUUUAAAGACUUGCUUGUGAUGCUGUAUGACCCUCUAAGUCUCAGUUUUGACUGCAGCUGCCUGGUGUUCUGUGGUCCACAUGCCUCCUUUUGUCUUACCAUACCCGUGGGGAUAUGUACCUCAUCUGCACCCAAUUUCUUGUUCGCAUCCCCUGGUGACCAGGGCUUCAGUCCUCAGGUCAAAGCAUCCUUAGUUGAGCUCAACUUUCCCAGGCUUAUCUCCAGGACACCUGCACCAGCCUAUAUUCUGCCAGCAGGGCAUGAAGCUUUCUGUUUCCCUGGUCCUUACCAACUGCCAACAAUCUGACAGAUGCAAAGUUUGGGUUGUUGUGACAGUUACCAGUGUGGGUUCAAGUCUUCACUCCAUCACUCAGCAGCUAUGUGACCACAUAAAAGCAGAUAAGCCACAUCUAUAUGCCUCAGUGUUCGCAUCUAUAAAAUGGAGAUACUAAUAUAAUUACCAUAGGGGGUGGUCGUGAGGAUCUAACAAAUUAAUGAAAAGUAUUCAGUAAUUACUACUACUAGUAGUACAGGUAGUACUUCCUAUUGUUACUACUAACAUUUUCAGUUUUAAUGAGGUUUACCACCCCUUCAUACACCUGUUAGCCAUUGGGUUUUCUCUACGGUGAAUUGCCUAGUCAUACCUUUUCUCAUUAUUCCAUUGGGUUGCCAUGUUUUUGCUGCUGAUUUGCAGGUGUUUGUUGAACAUUCUAGACACUAAUCCCUUGCUUAUUUUUGGUUCUUGCAAACAUCUCUCAAUCCAUUCCUGGUUUGUUAACUUUGACAGCGCUAACUUUUGUUGAACAAAAAUUCUGAUAAUGUUAAAUCUGUCUUUUUUUAUUUCCUUGUGCUUUGUAUUUUUGGACUAUUGUUUAAUAAAUCUCUUUCCAUGACAAAGUUACAAAUA